ACGCUGGCGGCACGCCUAAUACAUGCAAGUCGAACGAAGUAGCAAUACUUAGUGGCAGACGGGUGAGUAACAUGUAGGUAUCUUCCCAUUGGUGAGGAAUAACACGAGGAAACUUGUGCUAAUACCUCAUAAGUCUUUACGGAGAAAGCUUUAUGCGCCGAUGGAUGAGCCUGCACUUGAUUAGUUUGUUGGUAGGGUAAUGGCCUACCAAGACAAUGAUCAAUAGCUGAUUUGAGAGGAUGAUCAGCCACAUUGGGACUGAGACACGGCCCAAACUCCUACGGGAGGCAGCAGUAGGGAAUCUUGCACAAUGGGGGAAACCCUGAUGCAGCGAUGCCGCGUGAGUGAAGAAGGCCUUUGGGUUGUAAAGCUCUUUCGUCGGGGAAGAAAAUGACUGUACCCGAAUAAGAAGGUCCGGCUAACUUCGUGCCAGCAGCCGCGGUAAUACGAAGGGACCUAGCGUAGUUCGGAAUUACUGGGCUUAAAGAGUUCGUAGGUGGUUAAAAAAGUUGGUGGUGAAAUCCCAGAGCUUAACUCUGGAACUGCCAUCAAAACUUUUUAGCUAGAGUAUGAUAGAGGAAAGCAGAAUUUCUAGUGUAGAGGUGAAAAUUCGUAGAUAUUAGAAAGAAUACCGAUUGCGAAGGGCAGCUUUCUGGAUCAUUACUGACACUGAGGAACGAAAGCAUGGGUAGCGAAGAGGAUUAGAUACCCUCGUAGUCCAUGCCGUAAACGAUGUGUGUUAGACGUUGGAAAUUUAUUUUCUGUGUCGCAGCGAAAGCAAUAAACACACCGCCUGGGGAGUACGACCGCAAGGUUAAAACUCAAAUGAAUUGACGGGGACCCGCACAAGUAGUAGAGCAUGUGGUUUAAUUCGAAGAUACGCGCAGAACCUUACCAACACUUGACAUGUUCGUCGCGACUUUAAGAGAUUAAAGUUUUCGGUUCGGCCGGACGAAACACAGGUGCUGCAUGGCUGUCGUCAGCUCGUGUCGUGAGAUGUUGGGUUAAGUCCCGCAACGAGCGCAACCCUCACUUUUAGUUGCCAUCAUUUAGUUGGGCACUCUGAAAGAACUGCCAGUGAUAAGCUGGAGGAAGGUGGGGAUGACGUCAAGUCCUCAUGGCCCUUACGUGUUGGGCUACACACGUGCUACAAUGGCAUUUACAAUAGGAAGCAAGACGGCGACGUUAAGCAAAUCCUAAAAAAAUGCCUCAGUUCGGAUUGUACUCUGCAACUCGAGUACAUGAAGCUGGAAUUACUAGUAAUCGCGGAUCAGCGCGCCGCGGUGAAUACGUUCCCGGGUCUUGUACACACCGCCCGUCACACCAUGGGAGUUGGUUCUACCUUAAGGCAAAGUUUAAUACCUUUGACCACGGUAUAGUCAGCGACUGGGGU
RNAcentral lists this ribosomal RNA (1393 nucleotides) under uncultured bacterium. RNAcentral describes it as "16S ribosomal RNA". It matches the Rfam family "Bacterial small subunit ribosomal RNA". The record is from RNAcentral.